UAAGCGGAGGAAAAGNAACUAACAAAGGAUUCCCCUAGUAACUGCGAGUGAAGCGGGAAAAAGCUCAAAUUUAAAAUCUGGUGGUCUUUGNCCAUCCGAGUUGUAAUUUAGAGAAGCGUCUUCCGCGCUGGNCCGUGCACAAGUCUCCUGGAAUGGAGCGUCAUAGAGGGUGAGAAUCCCGUCUUUGGCACGGACACGCCAGGGCUUUUGUGAUGCGCUCUCGAAGAGUCGAGUUGUUUGGGAAUGCAGCUCAAAAUGGGUGGUGAACUCCAUCUAAAGCUAAAUAUUGGCGAGAGACCGAUAGCGAACAAGUACCGUGAGGGAAAGAUGAAAAGCACUUUGGAAAGAGAGUGAAACAGUACGUGAAAUUGUUGAAAGGGAAACGCUUGAAGUCAGUCGCGUCGACCGAGACUCAGCCUCGCCUUGGCUUGGUGUAAUUCUCGGCUGACGGGUCAGCAUCAAUUUUGCCUCUUGGAUAAUGGCGAGGGAAAUGUGACACCUUUACGGUGUGUUAUAGUCUCUCGUCGCAUGCAAGGGUUGGGAUUGAGGAACUCAGCACGNNNCNUCGGGUGUCGGGGUUACGCCCACGAUACGUGCUUAGGAUGUUGGCGUAAUGGCUUUAAACGACC
Molecule: ribosomal RNA, 629 nt
Filed under: uncultured Russulaceae
Lineage: Eukaryota; Fungi; Basidiomycota; Agaricomycetes; Russulales; Russulaceae
Description: LSU rRNA
Rfam family: Eukaryotic large subunit ribosomal RNA
Source: RNAcentral